RNAcentral lists this small RNA (753 nucleotides) under Pongo abelii (Sumatran orangutan). RNAcentral describes it as "processed transcript". Lineage: Eukaryota; Metazoa; Chordata; Mammalia; Primates; Hominidae. The record is from RNAcentral.
CGGAAGUAGCGUCGGCGCGGAAGCUGAGCGGAGUGGCCUUGCCACCGGAGGGGAAGGGCUGCUGGCGUUAGGCCUACCUGGGUCGUGCGGCUGAGCGUGAGGCUAGAAAGAAAAAGCGAUCCUCCAAGGGUGAGAACGGGAGAUCUGCCGAGGAUAACAACCUCCCUUGUGGCCUAAGGGCGGGGAAUCCCCACACGAGGGCUCCGUUUCGAGAGACGGCGACAGAGGAAAGUUCGUAGCGCGUUCCGGAGGCCCGGCCACCUCUGAGAAGGGAGAUGCUGCUGGGUCCCCUGAGCGGGGCGACCCGAGGUUAAGGCUACCUUUCCAGAUAGUCCAACAGCUAAAUCACCAGUUUCCAAGGGCAUUUGCAUCACCUAUGGAAAGCAUCGGAUCCUUAUACACCAGAUGUUCUUGACAGCUCAUCCCAUCAUUCCCCCUGCACAAAAGUUGCUAUACCAGCGGACAACCAAGACAACUACUGAGCUUCUUUUGAUUGUCAAGUAGAUAUAAUAUCACUGCCAGCAAAACAGCACAAAAAGUGUCUCUUCACAGUAUCACUACCAAUUGGGACUAUGCUAAGUAAAUCAGCUUGCCUAGAUGAGGACCCCUUCUAUUCUUGGGUAGCCAGAAUUUGAAGGAGAUACUCUGACCUGUGCCACUGGUAAGUGACUAACACUUUUACACACUGAACUGGUCCUGGAAACUGAGAUGUCUUCCUUGUAAGUGAAGAAUAUACAACAUAAUCUUGAAGAA